UGGGGAAUUUUGCACAAUGGGGGAAACCCUGAUGCAGCGACGCCGCGUGAUUUAGAAGGCCUUCGGGUUGUAAAUAUCUUUUUUACGGGAUGAAAAUGACAGUACCGUAAGAAUAAGGUCCGGCUAAAUACGUGCCAGCAGCCGCGGUAAUACGUAUGGACCGAGCGUUGUCCGGAAUCAUUGGGCGUAAAGGGUACGUAGGCGGCCCAGUAAGUUAGAAGUGAAAUAAUAUAGCUCAACUAUAUAAAGCUUUUAAAACUGCUAGGCUUGAGAGAUGGAAGGGAAAGUGGAGUGCCUAUUGUAGUGGUGAAAUGCGCAGAUAUUAGGAAGAAUACCGGUGGCGAAGGCGACUUUCUGGUCAUCAUCUGACGCGGAGGUACGAAAGCGUGGGUAGCAAACAGG
RNAcentral lists this ribosomal RNA (402 nucleotides) under bacterium. RNAcentral's name for it is "partial 16S ribosomal RNA". It matches the Rfam family "Bacterial small subunit ribosomal RNA", at positions 355 to 776 of the family's 1533-position model. The record is from RNAcentral.